Molecule: unclassified non-coding RNA, 346 nt
Filed under: soil metagenome
Description: partial contains 5.8S ribosomal RNA, internal transcribed spacer 2, and large subunit ribosomal RNA
Rfam family: 5.8S ribosomal RNA (bases 1-121)
Source: RNAcentral
GAUGAAGAACGUAGCGAAAUGCGAUAAGUAAUGUGAAUUGCAGAAUUCAGUGAAUCAUCGAAUCUUUGAACGCAUAUUGCGCCCCUUGGUUAUUCCGGGAGGCACACCUGUUCGAGCGUCAUUGCUGCCCUCAAGCACGGCUUGUGUGUUGGGCCUCCGUCCUCCUCCCGGGGGACGGGCCCGAAAGGCAGCGGCGGCACCGCGUCCGGUCCUCGAGCGUAUGGGGCUUCGUCACCCGCUCUUGUAGGCCCGGCCGGCGCUUGCCGACACAUCAAUCUUUUUUCCAGGUUGACCUCGGAUCAGGUAGGGAUACCCGCUGAACUUAAGCAUAUCAAUAAGCGGAGGA